ACCGCUAACGGUAAACUUAGUGGAAGAAAUUCAGUUAAUUUCUUAAUCAUCAAUUUCAAUCGAGAAAAAUUGAUGUUCAUUUUUAAAUUUCCGAGGUCGAUUGUCAUAUGUCUACUUUUUACUCUUUAAAAACUGUUGUACGAUGUUUACUUUUUAAUUAUGUAUUUCAUUUCAGAUUUUAAUCUAAUAUUUUUUUUCAGGUGAAACUAAUGAAUAUUUUAGACAUUUUUCAGUUUAUCGAUGUCGUUAUCUUGUGUUCUCUGAUCUUAUUCGUAUGGAUGAAUAGCUUUUUGUAUGCUUAAGCACAGAUGAAGAGAGCAGGAAAUAUUUAGAAAAUACCCCAUGCUCAUCUUUUAAUAUAUCAGUGCCAUUGGGGCUUACACUCUUCUUAACAAACUGGAUGUGGAGGGUAUGAUUGUAUUUCAACAUCAAAUACUGUUGAAUGUUUUGAUCCUGAAAAAUAUGGAAUCUGAAGAAAAAUUUCUGAGAACUCCAGUAAGUACCCGUCUGACGUACAUGAAUGAAAUCAGUGUAGAGUAACUGAAUAUUGUCGGUAAGUUUUAAUUCACUUUAAAAGAUUUCUUACUUGAGGUUCAGAAAAUGGUUACGUACUUAGCAAUGUCAGUAAGUAAACUCUCACUUGUAAGGUAAGACACUUAUUUAUCCUUAAGUUCUGCA
Molecule: non-coding RNA, 678 nt
Organism: Parasteatoda tepidariorum (common house spider)
Lineage: Eukaryota; Metazoa; Arthropoda; Arachnida; Araneae; Theridiidae
Source: RefSeq, a predicted model, not a curated record